Molecule: ribosomal RNA, 303 nt
Filed under: uncultured bacterium
Lineage: Bacteria
Description: partial 16S ribosomal RNA
Rfam family: Bacterial small subunit ribosomal RNA
Source: RNAcentral
AGCAGUAGCCGCGGUAAUACGUAGGUGGCAAGCGUUGUCCGGAAUUAUUGGGCGUAAAGGGCUCGCAGGCGGUUUCUUAAGUCUGAUGUGAAAGCCCCCGGCUCAACCGGGGAGGGUCAUUGGAAACUGGGAAACUUGAGUGCAGAAGAGGAGAGUGGAAUUCCACGUGUAGCGGUGAAAUGCGUAGAGAUGUGGAGGAACACCAGUGGCGAAGGCGACUCUCUGGUCUGUAACUGACGCUGAGGAGCGAAAGCGUGGGGAGCGAACAGGAUUAGAGACCCCGGUAGUCCCUGUCUCUUAUAC